AAAGAAUCCUCUUGAUCUCUUGCCCCCAAGUCCUAUGAUAUUGGAUGAGUGGAAGAGGCUGUAUUCUAACACUAAAACCAACUUCCGUGAGGUUGCUAUUAAAGGAUUCUGGGAUAUGUAUGACCCUGAGGGAUACUCUCUUUGGUUCUGCGACUACAAAUACAAUGAUGAGAACAUGGUUUCUUUUGUGACUUUGAACAAAGUUGGCGGGUUCCUGCAGCGUAUGGACUUGGCACGCAAAUAUGCGUUUGGUAAGAUGCUGGUGAUUGGAUCGGAGCCGCCCUUCAAGGUCAAGGGCUUGUGGCUUUUCCGUGGGA
This 317-nucleotide unclassified non-coding RNA is filed under the name Hevea brasiliensis (rubber tree). The record is from RNAcentral. Lineage: Eukaryota; Viridiplantae; Streptophyta; Magnoliopsida; Malpighiales; Euphorbiaceae.